Molecule: ribosomal RNA, 439 nt
Filed under: uncultured bacterium
Lineage: Bacteria
Description: partial 16S ribosomal RNA
Rfam family: Bacterial small subunit ribosomal RNA
Source: RNAcentral
CUACGGGCCGCUGCAGUGGGGAAUAUUGCACAAUGGAGGAAACUCUGAUGCAGCAACGCCGCGUGGAGGAUGACACUUUUCGGAGCGUAAACUCCUUUUAUAUAGGAAGAAGAUGACGGUACUAUAUGAAUAAGCGCCGGCUAACUCCGUGCCAGCAGCCGCGGUAAUACGGAGGGCGCAAGCGUUACUCGGAAUCACUGGGCGUAAAGAGCGUGUAGGCGGAUUAAAAAGUCAGAAGUGAAAACCUAUAGCUUAACUAUAGAACUGCUUCUGAAACUCUUAAUCUAGAAUAUGGGAGAGGCAGAUGGAAUUUCUGGUGUAGGGGUAAAAUCCGUAGAGAUCAGAAGGAAUACCGAUUGCGAAGGCGAUCUACUAGAACAUUAUUGACGCUGAGACGCGAAAGCGUGGGGAGCAAACAGGAUUAGAUACCCCAGUAGUC